Long non-coding RNA from Nothobranchius furzeri (turquoise killifish), 2493 nucleotides. Lineage: Eukaryota; Metazoa; Chordata; Actinopteri; Cyprinodontiformes; Nothobranchiidae. The record is from Ensembl.
AUGAGAAAGCCAGGUGAGUCUGAAGAGCUAUUGGGUCCUUUGAGGUCAUCCGAGCAAUUGCAUGCCGGACCAUGUCCUGGGACACGAGGUACGGAAGGAUCUUCCCCAAGAGGAGAAUGUCGAUUGAGGCGCUCACAUCCUGACCAUAGUCGGCCAGGCAAGUGGCCAGCAUCUGUGUAUAAGAGACAGGGGCACAAAAGUUUCUGAACUAACCUCAAUAUUUCUAAAAAUUUGUAUUCGGAAUAUUAAAAAGGGUACAUAAGGGCAAAAACCCAUGAGCACUCCUGCUGGUAAAUCAGAAUGUAAAAGCUUUAACUCAACUUUUUAAGCAACAUUUUUAUUUCACUAAUUUUCUACUCUACAACAUUUUGGGGAUUUGUUUAGAAGAAAAAAUGAAAAGUCUCUCAAGCAGUAUUACUGUUGCCAGGCAACUUCUUUUUAUUUCCUUCAAUGACAGUGGAGGUUUAUUUGACUUUUGCUUAUUCUUAGUAUUCACAGUGCGGCGCAGAAGUUUGGAGCUCCUCAGCAGGUUGUAAUCUUCGCCAUCGGAUUUUUCUCUUCACAGUGUACGGAUCUCAUCUGCUCUGCACUAUUCAGUUUAUUAUGAGUUACAAUUUCAAGCAUUGUGCUGCUAAAUUUACCUCUCACAUUUUUAACUAUGCCCUUUUGUCUUUACACUUCACACACCUAAAGGUAACUUAUUAUCAGCAGCAAUGCUUUCACAUUUUUGACACUUGAUUUUUUUUUACAUUUUCUCAGGAUGAUGACAAAGUUGGUUUGUCUAAAGUGCAAAAAGAACAUUUCCUUUUAUUAAAGACAUACUACGCAACUUUUUCAUUUCAUGCAACAAUGAAAUUAUAUGUAGCGCUGCAUUUAGUAUGAAUUGUCUCAGCAUUUUAAAGCAACACUAAAGAGUUGUUAAACAGCAGGUUCACUGUGAAAAUGUGUUGUACUUGUUUUUUUAAUAAUCGGUCACUCUGAGUUUUAAGUGUUACUUUACAAAUUUUUCAUAUUUUUUAAUAAUUUUCUUGAGCCAUUAUGUGCUAAAUUGACCCUUUACAGGGUUAAUGAAAUGUCUCUCAGACACACACUGUGGCAACAAUACCGCGUUUGCAACUUCAGAGUUACAACUGACUCUUUUCUUCUUAUUAUUUGAGAUUGUUUUGGGAGUAUCAGUGGUUUUCAAGUUACUCCCAUGCAGGUCAAUGGAUUGUUAAUCUGCUAAUUCGUUAAAAAGUUCUGAUAAAUAAAACCAAGUCCUUUUAGCGUUGACAACACAAAUCGUUCAUAAAUAAUUAGUUAUUUUAGUCAUGAUAGACCUCCUGCCUGUAGAAUUAUGAAACCUUUGCAUCCACCUUAUUUUGAUUUGAGAGAAAAAGAAAGCAAAACGUGUGAUGCAUUUUUGUGUCUCGCAUUAUGGUUGAAAGACAGUUACUUCUAAGUGCUCCUGGACUGAAUUCAUUCAUUCAUUCAUGAAGCGUGUCCAUGCUACCAAUCAAGGUAGUCUAAAAGGCUGAAAACAAAAAAGCUACAAUGACAAAGACGAUAAAGACUAAAAUAAGUAUGUAAAGAAACGUCACCUAGGAUUGACUGAUUAGUCUUUUGUUGUUAGCCUCAAGGGCAACCCGCCCGCUUCAUCAUCACUUGUAAGUUGCUUUGGACAAAAACGUCUGCUAAAUACAUAAACAUGAAAAAUUCUAAAUAAAAACAGCUACAUUCAAAGAAUAAAACUGACUCAGAGGCAUCCUAUAUAAAUAAAUAAGAUACUGAAAACUGUAGGUCGUUUAAGGAGGAGGCGCAAAAAAUAAAGUCUGGCUUUUAAACGCCCCAACGAGGGAGCCAGUUUAACCUUGAGAGGGAGUUUGUUCUAGAGCUUCAGACAGCACGACCACCCCUGGUUUUCCGCUUGUCCUUGGGACCGUGAUCGACUGAUGGAAGACAUUUCAAUGGGAUGUGUUUUGAAAGCAAAAAUGAAAUGUACAAAUGGAGAGUGCCAUUGUCCUUUCAUUGGAAAGUGAAGGGUUCAGUGUAAGCAAGGGCGUCAGUUUGUUUUCAGAAUUGCUGGGGACAAUAACCAUACACUUGAGUGGGGUUUAAAAAUUGCUGGGGACAAUAACCAUACACUUGAGUGGGGUUUAAAAAUUGCUGGGGACAAUAAAGUAGGCUAGCACAGGGGUCGGCAAUCCGCGGCUCAGGAGCCGCAUGCGGCUCUUCCAUCCAUCUGAUGCGGCUCUCUGUGCUUGUAAAAUAAUGAAUGGAUAUUUAAAUAAAAUGCUUUAUAUUUUACUGCAUUAAUUUUACACCUGUAUGCCAAUUCUAAAUGUAAAGAUUAUCUGCGUAAACCUGAACAGGUCCAACCCGGUCUGCGGUGGUUGACCGGUCACGCUUGUGCGUAAUCAUAUCGGCACUUUAUGAGCUGAAGAGGGUGUGAGAUUCUGGGAUUCUCCUCAGACGGCUCCUGGAUGUGUCGCCACAUUGGAGACAGGAACAAGC